RNAcentral lists this ribosomal RNA (253 nucleotides) under uncultured bacterium. RNAcentral's name for it is "partial 16S ribosomal RNA". It matches the Rfam family "Bacterial small subunit ribosomal RNA", at positions 524 to 776 of the family's 1533-position model. The record is from RNAcentral.
UACGUAGGGGGCGAGCGUUAUCCGGAUUCACUGGGUGUAAAGGGAGCGUAGACGGCCAUGCAAGCCAGGGGUGAAAGCCCGGGGCCCAACCCCGGGACUGCCCUUGGAACUGCAUGGCUGGAGUGCGGGAGGGGCAGGCGGAAUUCCUGGUGUAGCGGUGAAAUGCUUAGAUAUCACGAAGAACUCCGAUUGCGAAGGCAGCUCACUGGACUGCAACUGACACUGAGGCUCGAAAGUGUGGGUAUCAAACAGG